RNAcentral lists this ribosomal RNA (768 nucleotides) under uncultured bacterium. RNAcentral describes it as "bacterial SSU rRNA". It matches the Rfam family "Bacterial small subunit ribosomal RNA", at positions 41 to 807 of the family's 1533-position model. The record is from RNAcentral.
GGCGUGCUUAACACAUGCAAGUCGAACGAAGCGAUUUAACGGAAGCCUUCGGGCAGAAGAUAAAUUGACUUAGUGGCGGACGGGUGAGUAACGCGUGAGCAACCUGCCCAUAAGAGGGGGAUAACAGUUGGAAACGACUGCUAAUACCGCAUAAGACCACAUUACCGCAUGGUAGAGGGGUCAAAGAAAUUCGCUUAUGGAUGGGCUCGCGUCCCAUUAGGUAGUUGGUAGGGUAACGGCCUACCAAGCCAAUGAUGGGUAGCCGACCUGAGAGGGUGAUCGGCCACACUGGAACUGAGACACGGUCCAGACUCCUACGGGAGGCAGCAGUGGGGAAUAUUGGGCAAUGGGCGCAAGCCUGACCCAGCAACGCCGCGUGAGGGAAGAAGGCCUUCGGGUUGUAAACCUCUGUCCUAUGGGAAGAAAAAAAUGACGGUACCAUAGGAGGAAGCUCCGGCUAACUACGUGCCAGCAGCCGCGGUAAUACGUAGGGAGCAAGCGUUGUCCGGAAUUACUGGGCGUAAAGGGUGCGUAGGCGGUUGCUUAAGUCAGAUGUGAAAUACUCGGGCUCAACUCGGGGGCUGCAUCUGAUACUGGGUAACUAGAGUGCAGGAGAGGAAAGUGGAAUUCCUAGUGUAGCGGUGGAAUGCGUAGAUAUUAGGAGGAACACCAGUGGCGAAGGCGACUUUCUGGACUGUAACUGACGCUGAGGCACGAAAGUAUGGGUAGCAAACAGGAUUAGAUACCCUGGUAGUCCAUACUGUAAAC